GAUGAACGCUGGCGGCGUGCCUAAUACAUGCAAGUCGAGCGAACAGACGAGGAGCUUGCUCCUCUGACGUUAGCGGCGGACGGGUGAGUAACACGUGGAUAACCUACCUAUAAGACUGGGAUAACUUCGGGAAACCGGAGCUAAUACCGGAUAAUAUAUUGAACCGCAUGGUUCAAUAGUGAAAGACGGUUUUGCUGUCACUUAUAGAUGGAUCCGCGCCGCAUUAGCUAGUUGGUAAGGUAACGGCUUACCAAGGCUACGAUGCGUAGCCGACCUGAGAGGGUGAUCGGCCACACUGGAACUGAGACACGGUCCAGACUCCUACGGGAGGCAGCAGUAGGGAAUCUUCCGCAAUGGGCGAAAGCCUGACGGAGCAACGCCGCGUGAGUGAUGAAGGUCUUCGGAUCGUAAAACUCUGCUAUUAGGGAAGAGCAAAUGUGUAAGUAACUAUGCACGUCUUGACGGUACCUAAUCAGAAAGCCACGGCUAACUACGUG
RNAcentral lists this ribosomal RNA (497 nucleotides) under uncultured bacterium. RNAcentral's name for it is "partial 16S ribosomal RNA". It matches the Rfam family "Bacterial small subunit ribosomal RNA", at positions 28 to 507 of the family's 1533-position model. The record is from RNAcentral.